CAACCGUAUCACGUUGAAACACUGGUUCCGCACAAUCACCGAAAUUAAGCAACGUCAAGCCUGGUCAGUACUUAGAUGGGUGACCGCUUGGGAACACAAAGUGCUGCAA
Non-coding RNA from Acanthosepion pharaonis, 109 nucleotides. The record is from the annotation of a GenBank genome assembly. Lineage: Eukaryota; Metazoa; Mollusca; Cephalopoda; Sepiida; Sepiidae.